AACGUAGGACACAAGCGUUAUCCGGAGUUACUGGGCGUAAAGGGCGUGUAGGCGGACGUGUAAGUCUAUUCUGAAAGCUCCUGGCUAAACUGGGAGAGGCGAAUGGAGACUGCAUAUCUAGAGUGAGGAAGAGGAAAGUGGAAUUCCGCGUGUAGUGGUGAAAUGCGUAGAUAUGCGGAGGAACACCGAUGGCGAAGGCAAUCCCCUGGGCCUGCACUGACGCUCAUGCACGAAAGCGUGGGGAGCAAACAGG
RNAcentral lists this ribosomal RNA (253 nucleotides) under uncultured bacterium. Its description in RNAcentral is "partial 16S ribosomal RNA". It matches the Rfam family "Bacterial small subunit ribosomal RNA", at positions 524 to 776 of the family's 1533-position model. The record is from RNAcentral.